GGCAAACUGUCAAAGAGACAAAGAAAUUCGUUUGUAGCUUAAACAUUAUAAAUGCUCGUCCCUUUUUCAACAUUCUCCAGAGUUAAAGGGCCUAAGCGGGAAUUGUACUCAGUGGUAGGCUACUCAGAAGAAAGCAGCAGGUUAAGUUGAAUACAGAAACUUUGCUGACGUUAUGAAUCAUUUCCGUAUUUUCGUUGCGACACUUUUAUUGAUCGUCGUUGUACAAGCGAUAAAGUACAAGACUUUGACUGACGACAAACCACAUUUCUGUUGUCCAGCAAUUGAAAUGUGUUGUCGUGGAGGUUCGAAGAAACGUGAUGAAAUCGUCAGUGAUGAAGAAGUCAACGUUGGGGUUGGUGAAAAUGGAAUUAUUUCAAAGGGAAAAAAACGUGAUGAAAUCUUCAGUGUUGAAGGACACAAAUUAAAGAUGUUGAAAUAUAAACUAUUUUAAGAUGAAUGAUGGAUUUUAGAAUUUUCUUUUACACAGUAUAAAUACAUUUGUCUAGUUACUUGAAAUUUUUUGAUUAAUCGGUAAACCUCUUUGUUAGUUAAUGUAGAAUCAUUUCCUUAAUUAUACACUUAUGCAGCGAAA
This is a long non-coding RNA of Xenia sp. Carnegie-2017, 592 nucleotides long. RefSeq lists it as uncharacterized. The transcript is spliced from 3 exons. NCBI's taxonomy places the organism in Eukaryota, Metazoa, Cnidaria, Anthozoa, Malacalcyonacea, Xeniidae. The record is from RefSeq and is a predicted model, not a curated record.